This is a long non-coding RNA of Ochotona princeps (American pika), 273 nucleotides long. RefSeq lists it as uncharacterized. Lineage: Eukaryota; Metazoa; Chordata; Mammalia; Lagomorpha; Ochotonidae. The record is from RefSeq and is a predicted model, not a curated record. The transcript has 2 exons.
GCGCCGGUUCUAAUCCCGGCAGCCCCACUUCCCAUCCAGCUCCCUGCUUGUGGCCUGGGAAAGCAGUCGAGGACGGCCCAAAGCCUUGGGACCCUGCACCCGCGUGGGAGACCCGGAGGAGGUUCCUGGCUUCGGAUCGGCAUAGCAUCGGCCGUUGCGCUCACUUGGGGAGUGAAACAUUGGAUGGAAGAUCUUCCUCUCUGUCUCUCCUCCUCUCUGUAUAUCUGACUUUCCAAUAAAAAAUAAAUAAAUCUUUUAAAAAAAAAAGAAGAA